CCGUCUCUCGAGGGUCGUGGAGCUGCACUGUCUGCUGUCCAAUGCCUGAAAAAAGCUGCUCCGUACAAACGUCUACAGGGGUUCAUGGUGGGAAGGGGGGUCUAGGUCCCUCACGCCACGAGGGCCGGGUCUGGGGGUUUAGUUUCUGCUUUUCUGCCGACUCGGUCACAGCCAUGAGUCUGCAGCUGCAGGAGGUGCUGACGCCUGAGCUCACUGUGCCAUCCCGCCUGGAGGACCACGCAGUCUCACGAGGAGUCUCACGGCAGCUUCUCAGAGACGCUGGUCGGAGGACACUUGACUACACAAGAGGCACUCCUGUUGGCUUUCCCUGGGGCCCUGGACCAAGUCCUCUCCCAUCGUUUCCGAGGGCCUCCAUCACUCGGGCCACUCUGGGUCCCAACAGGGGGUGAGGCCACCAUCACGGUGUCCCCAAGCCCACGUUUCACCCACCCUGCCUCUGGGGAAGGGACGCAAAGAGACAGGAUCUAAGUCAGGAAACACACAUCCCCAUGACAGAGGGAACCAGUUUCCUCCCAGAAUCGCCACCUUGGCAGCACACUGUGCAAGCCUGAGACCAGCUGGGCCCAGGGCCGGCUGGAAGAUGACCGGGACCCAGAAAGAGGGUGGCCCUCCCUGCGAUGCCGAGUCCCUGGGGCCGUGGGACCCUUGUGUGUUCGCUCAGGCCCAGAGCAGAGCCUGGCUGUGUCCACAGGCUGCAGGCGCCAUCCUAGGCCUCCCAGGGGGAAUCUUGGAUCUCUGGGCAUUUCAUGGAAACCAGCUUGGUCAAGAUAAGUGAUUUUUCAAACUACUGCUACUGAUAAUUUCCACCAUUUUAUUGGGUGGCUGCUACUUGUGGACCACCUGCUAAUUGUUUUACAUGCGUGAGGCAGGCACUCUCCUCGUCUGCUUUCUCCAGGUGAGGAAAUUGAGGAUCAGAGAGGUAAAUUAACCUGGCCAGGAUCACACAGCUGGUGAGUGGCAGCAGAGAAGGGAUUUGUACUCUUAGCCAUGACACUAGGUUGCCUUCUGUGUUCACUGUUUAAGCUUGAAAAGGUUUUUAGGUCUAAACGUGUAGUUGGGGGAAAGGAAAAACAAGAGAAUUAGCAUUAAAUUAACACCUUUAGUAAUACUAACAGCAGCACAUCUCAUUGACUCCUUGAGGCUCUUCUCUUCUCCUUCGCAUUUUAUCAUCUCUGAAACGUGGAUUCAUCUUGCAGUGCUCGUGUGUCUAGUUCAUGUCGGCCUGAGGGUCUGCUGGUUCACCCAGGAAUUUGGGCUGCUUUCCAGGCUCUGUGAGCUCAAGAAACAGCAGAUCACGAAGUCCAGGCCCUGACCUGGGGGCUGCUCGGGCCUUUUGGAAAGCAGGCCCCGAAAGACGACAUUCUCCUCUGGCCGUGGCAGACUUCCGUGCAUGGAAGUGUUUCCCGGAGCGCAAGGGACAAAGUCCCUGUGUCGGAGGGAGCAGGUCACCGCGCGACUCACUGGGACUCUCAGGCGCUGGGGAGGGGCUGCCGGCCGGCCCUGCUGGGCUCUGGCAGCUCACUGCUGGGUCCAAGCCGCUGCUUUGCCACUUACUAGCUGUGCGACUCGGGCAAGUGACUUCCGCUCCCGUGCCUCGGUUUCCUCCUCGGUAAGGUAACUCCUGUGGAAUAUCGCCUGGCACGCGGUGCGUGCUCCGUAAACCCAGUUGUCCUGAGGAUUCAUCGGGAGGACGUUCCCAGGAGAGCUCUUACCAGCCCAGGUGAGGAGCUCUUUUAAUGUACGAGUUCUAGCCUGUGUUUCUACAAGUUCGUUUCUAGAUCACGGACACGAGGGACCCAACUUUCCAGUUUGGGUCCCACUUCUACGAAACAAUGGCAUAAAACAGGAAGAAAAUGCAACCGACUAAGGAAACACCCUGGGCCCCGUGGACGCUGUGAGGGCUCUUGGACAAUCUGUGCUGUCCACGCCAGGGUUAAAUACACAGACUCGGGUCGUCAGUCGUUGGCUUUGAGUGCUGGUCUCUGUCCGGCAGUGAGCUCUCAGACAAGCUCCUCGGUGACCCAGAGUGUGAGAGGAGGAAGACCACUGACCUCGCCUCGGUGGGUCGUUGUGCGGCCAGUCCGUGGGCACGUGCCGGCACACAGUGAGCCCCGGAGCACUGGCCCUCAGGAUCGCUGUCAUUAUUAUUUGUCGCUAUUCCUCUUAAUGACUUAAUGAGACAGCGCGUGCACCACAGUGCCGGCACAGAGUGCUUCGUAAACGGUCGUCGGCAACAUCAUGACGAUUCUUAUUCUCUGCAGUGGGUGAGGUUGAGGCCACACGCUACCAUGUGGAUUUACAGAGCACAGGUGGCUGCAGAAGCUGGGGCUGGCCUGGUGGCGUAGCACUAAGUUCAGUUCACGCACUCUGCUUCGUAGGCCUGGGGUUCGCAGGUUCAGAUCCUGGGCGCAGACCUAGCAGCGCUUAUCAAGCCAUGCUGUGGCAGGAAUCCUGCAAAUAAAAUAGAGGAGGAUGGGCAUGGAUGUUUUCUUGGGGCCAAUCUUCCUCAAAAAAAAAAAAAAAGAAAAGAAAAGAAAAAAAAGGAGUGGCUGCAGAAGCUCAAAUAGCACGUCAUCCCACAGGAAAUGGAAAGUUCCACAAGGAAGGGCCUGGAAUUGGAACAGGCAUCUUGAGUUCACUCCCAGCCCCAUCAGGAGCGGGAUGGGUGCCCGCCUGGGAUUAGGAGCCCCCCCCACCUGGAGGGCCUCGGGCUUGUUCAUCGGGCAGGGCAGCCUGAGGAGGGUUAUCGCCCUGGAAGGAUGCCUGGCAUCCGAGCUGAGCCUGGGCGAGCUGCCCUGUGCCGAGGAUCCCUUGCCUGCCCCAGACAAAGCCCAGCUCCUAGCUCAGCCCACCUGGGGGCCUCCUCCCAUCUGGACCCCUGAUGCCUUGUCUCGCCCAGCUCAGACCCCCAAACUCGCUUGUCCUCUUCCUUCCCUGCCUCUCUAUGCAGUGACCUGCCACUCCCUCCUCUGUGCCUCCCUCAUGGUGCUACCUAGGCUAGGAGGGGUUUGCCUACAGCCUGGUCACCCUCCCUGGGCUGUGGGCUUCCAGAGGCUGGGGCUGCUGAGGCAAGGUCUCCCCACGGUGAGAGGGGGGCUCUGGAGCCAGGCCGGCAUCCAGGCGCAGCUGCUUCUCAACCGGUUCCCCUCAGCAAGUUCUGCUCAGAUCCUCAUUUUCCCUCUCUGUAGAAUGGAGAGAAUAUGCCCCGCUACCUCACCAGGUUGUGAUGAGAAUUAAGGAAUUUGAUACGUAUCAAGAGCUUAGAAUAUUGCUUGGCACAUAGUAACUGCUCAGUAAAUGCUGGCCGUUAUUGUUAUCGGCUGCAUUGUUAUUCCCAUCGGUACCCUCCAGAGUCCAGCAGGGGCUGGCACCGGGCAGGUGUGUGAUGCAAAUUAGUGACUUUGUGCCUUUCCAUCAGGAACCUCCAGAUGUUCACGACGAAAGGGUCUCUGGGUGGGGUUUGUGGGUGUUAGAACCAGGCUUCCGCGAUGUGCCGACUGUAUCUUGUCGGGGACCGCUGCUUCCCCAGGGUUCCCAAGGGCAUUUAGCUUUUCCUUCUCCCUUCCUCCGUCGCCCUCUUCUUUCUUCCCUGUCUCCCUCCCUUUCCUCCUCUUCUCCCCGCUCCUUUCUUUCCCUUACGAGGAGCAGAGCAGUGCUAGGAUGAUCACACGCAUCCUUGCGGGUAUUUCUGCUUCUAUUGUUGGGCUCGGUUUCUAGCACGAGACCUGAUCCUUUAAUGAAACCAACUAGCUGCUCUUAAGAAGCCCCAAGCUCUGCUGGCGCUCUGAGGAUGCUCGCCUAUCCGCCAUCAAAUGCUUUCUGUCCUAUUUUCCACGGGACACGUGGGUCCCAAACCCGCCCCGUGAACCCAUCUCUUACUGACUGGGGAACAUUUCUUUCAAGAAUACCAGUGACUUUGCCCCAGGGCCCUGUCCUCACCAGACAAACAAGGCGUCUGCUUAUGCCUUGGGCCGAGUGAGUCCUACGACUCAUGCAGAAUCCAAAGGCCCUGCCCCAGGAGGGGCACUGUGGGCGGUGAUGUCACGAGCAGCCAGAUGUCAGGAGCCUGGAUGCCUCAGAUGGCAAGCUUUGGAUUUUAAUUCUCCUUUGUUCCUAACAACUGGAAACCUUCAAAAGCAUUCAAUGAGGACUCAACCGGAAGACUUGAUAUUCACAAACAGGCUUUGAAAGCAAGCCCAGACCCAGUCACGACUUCCCUCGUGUGGAACGUGCAUGGAGACGGGCGCGUGGCGGUCGGGAUGAAGCAGAGAAGCUCUGGGAGGAGCCCAGCCUUCACCUUGGCGUUGACGUCUGUUCCCGGAAUCUCCAGGCUGACCCGCCACCGGGACCCCUGCGAGGAAGCCCGGAACACAGCUCUGCAGCCAGUUGGUGCCAGGUGUGAGUGUGACUUUACCACCUACCCAGCAGAGUGACCUUGAACAGGCCUCUUAACCUCUCUGAGCCUCAGUUUCCCCCUCUGGAACAUGGAACAGUAAUAGUACUUUCCUCCUACAGUGUUUCCGAGAGCUGGCACACGGUUAAGAAUAACUUGGGAAGAAACGAGAGACAAAAAAGACUAAGACAGCUGAUCCAAGGCCUCCACUGGCCAAUGGAAAUGCUCCUGGGAGAGGAAGAAGGAGACAGCCCACUGCAGGGUUGAAUUUGGAGGGCGCGUCCCAGGCGCUCAGGUAGGACAGCAGCUGUCUUCAUGUUUCCUCUGUGGGGAUGACUUAGCAGCAGGAGUGUAUCCAGCAAUGUCCUGGAGGCCAGCUGUCCACUGACAGAGGGACCAGCACUCAACAAGGCCAUGAUGUUCCAGUUCCGGAGCCGGAGCGUCAGGUGGGAAGGUGGCGCAGAUUGACAAGCGCACAAAACAGCUCUACAGCUGAACGGAUUACUACGGGAGAACAGCCCCGCAGCCCUGCCUGGAUGAAGAAGCAGAACUUGGCCUUCUGCCCUUGAAGACCCUCCGCAUAGGCCAAGUACAUUUAUUGAGCACCUGCUGCAUGCUGUCUCUGGGCUGGUGGCACACGGCCGAUGAGGCGCAGUCCCUGCUUUCACAGACUUCACCGUCCAUGAGGAGAUGGAACAUAACCCAGGAAGCAAAGGCGUGACCAGAAAUUGUGAUACCGCCAUGGAGGAAAUGGGUUUGGGGGAGAAUGUGCAAAGGGUCCCAGAGGUGGUGACAUCUGAGCUAAACCUGAAAGAGCAGAAGGAGCCAAUCAUGGGGCAGGAAGGGAUUCCGGGCAGAGAAGCCUUGACCAAAUGCCCGGGGGCAGGAAGCGGCACUGAACCAAGGCCGAUGUGUGGCGUUCGGUGUGGACAGAGGAGAACAGUGAGAGACGGCGUGGGGCCGCGGCUUUGGAGCGCAAGCCUAGGAACAAAGGGAGACCAUGGAAAGAGUUUAAGCAGGAGAGUCAAGCAAUACAGAGGAUUUUCUGAGAAGAUCAACUGCUGUGUGGAGGAUGGAGGGGAAAGAAGGACAGUGGGAAUGGGGGGCCAGCCAGGCAGCGGGUGUGCUCGUUCAGAAGAGGCGAUGCCGGCCUUGCCCAGGGGCCGGGGAGAAGUGAGGGCCUUUGGGUAGGUUUGGUGGUGG
Long non-coding RNA from Equus caballus (horse), 5617 nucleotides. Lineage: Eukaryota; Metazoa; Chordata; Mammalia; Perissodactyla; Equidae. The record is from Ensembl.